CAGUCGCCGCGGUAAUACGAAGGGUGCAAGCGUUAAUCGGAAUUACUGGGCGUAAAGCGUGCGCAGGCGGUUUGUUAAGACAGAUGUGAAAUCCCCGGGCUCAACCUGGGAACUGCAUUUGUGACUGGCAAGCUAGAGUGUGGCAGAGGGGGGUGGAAUUCCGCGUGUAGCAGUGAAAUGCGUAGAUAUGCGGAGGAACACCGAUGGCGAAGGCAGCCCCCUGGGCCAACACUGACGCUCAUGCACGAAAGCGUGGGGAGCAAACAGGAUUAGAUACCCCCGUAGUCCCUGUCUCUUAUAC
RNAcentral lists this ribosomal RNA (301 nucleotides) under uncultured bacterium. RNAcentral describes it as "partial 16S ribosomal RNA". It matches the Rfam family "Bacterial small subunit ribosomal RNA", at positions 509 to 807 of the family's 1533-position model. The record is from RNAcentral.